UGAAUCGGCAGAAAUACAAGAAGAGGGCAACGCAGGACCGGGGGAACCCGGAGAAUGCGAGUCAACAAGCUUUUUGGAGCAAGGGCGAAGAGUAAGCGUUCAAGUGACUAAAGGGCAGACGGGGAAUGCCUAGGCAGCAGAAGGCGAAGAAGGACGUGGCGAGCUGCGAAAAGCUUCGGGGAGCCGCUCACAGGCGUUGAUCCGGAGGAAUCCGAAUGGGGGGAACCCCACUGGGGGAAUGCCCAGUGAGCCUUGCCUGAAUUCAUAGGGCAAGG
This 275-nucleotide ribosomal RNA is filed under the name uncultured bacterium. Its description in RNAcentral is "partial 16S ribosomal RNA". The stretch from base 98 to 275 matches the Rfam family "Bacterial large subunit ribosomal RNA", at positions 1 to 176 of the family's 2925-position model. The record is from RNAcentral.